This 133-nucleotide ribosomal RNA is filed under the name Pseudomonas fluorescens. Lineage: Bacteria; Pseudomonadati; Pseudomonadota; Gammaproteobacteria; Pseudomonadales; Pseudomonadaceae. The record is from RNAcentral.
ACUCAGUACCCGAAUUUCUUGACGACCAUAGAGCAUUGGAACCACCUGAUCCCAUCCCGAACUCAGCAGUGAAACGAUGCAUCGCCGAUGGUAGUUUGGGGUUUCCCCAUGUGAGAGUAGGUCAUCGUCAAGA